AGCAGCCGCGGUAAUUCCAGCUCCAAUAGCGUAUAUUAAAGUUGUUGCAGUUAAAAAGCUCGUAGUUGAAUUUCGGGAUCAAUUAGUCGGUCGUGCCUCUGGUACGUACUGGUUUUAUUGGUUCCUCCCUUCUGACGAAACAUGAUGUCAUUAAUUUGGUGUCGUGGAGAAUCAGGACUGUUACCUUGAAAAAAUUAGAGUGUUUAUAGCAGGCUAACGCUUGAAUACAUUAGCAUGGAAUAAUGAAAUAGGACGUUCGACCCUAUUUUGUUGGUUUCUAGGAUCGACGUAAUGAUUAAUAGGGAUAGUUGGGGGCAUUAGUAUUCAAUUGUCAGAGGUGAAAUUCUUGGAUUUAUUGAAGACUAACUACUGCGAAAGCAUUUGCCAAGGAUGUUUUCAUUAAUCAAGAACGAAAGUUAGGGGAUCGAAGACGAUCAGAUACCGUCGUAGUCUUAACCAUAAACUAUGCCGACUAGGGAU
Molecule: unclassified non-coding RNA, 480 nt
Filed under: uncultured Glomus
Lineage: Eukaryota; Fungi; Glomeromycota; Glomeromycetes; Glomerales; Glomeraceae
Description: SSU rRNA
Rfam family: Eukaryotic small subunit ribosomal RNA
Source: RNAcentral